UAGGGAAUCUUCGGCAAUGGACGAAAGUCUGACCGAGCAACGCCGCGUGAGUGAAGAAGGUUUUCGGAUCGUAAAACUCUGUUGUUAGAGAAGAACAAGGACGUUAGUAACUGAACGUCCCCUGACGGUAUCUAACCAGAAAGCCACGGCUAACUACGUGCCAGCAGCCGCGGUAAUACGUAGGUGGCAAGCGUUGUCCGGAUUUAUUGGGCGUAAAGCGAGCGCAGGCGGUUUCUUAAGUCUGAUGUGAAAGCCCCCGGCUCAACCGGGGAGGGUCAUUGGAAACUGGGAGACUUGAGUGCAGAAGAGGGGAGUGGAAUUCCAUGUGUAGCGAUGUAAUGCGUAGAUAUAUGGAGGAACACCAGUAGCGAAGGCGGCUCUCUGGUCUGUAACUGACGCUGAGGCUCGAAAGCGUGGGGAGCAAACAGG
Molecule: ribosomal RNA, 429 nt
Filed under: Gemmatimonadota bacterium
Lineage: Bacteria; Pseudomonadati; Gemmatimonadota
Description: Gemmatimonadetes bacterium partial 16S ribosomal RNA
Rfam family: Bacterial small subunit ribosomal RNA
Source: RNAcentral